Molecule: long non-coding RNA, 1351 nt
Organism: Nerophis lumbriciformis (worm pipefish)
Lineage: Eukaryota; Metazoa; Chordata; Actinopteri; Syngnathiformes; Syngnathidae
Source: RefSeq, a predicted model, not a curated record
AGGAGGCGGUUGGGGAGAGCGAGGCUGUCAGGUGGAGCAGCUCGCUUGCAAUGGCUGGGAGAAGUCAAAGCCCCCGACAACAUUAGCAUCGCAGCGCCCGCGGCUCUUUCUUCCAAUCGAGGCUGUCGCUCUUUCACUGGCAGCAGAACUGGUCUGGACCCCCCACCGUCUUCUGACCUUUGCUCCCCCUUCCUGCUUCCCUCCUCUUCCAACACACACACACACACACUGCAUAAGGCUGCAAUUCAGCUAACAACCAACUCAUCACACACAAAUCCAAUCUGUGCCCCACCAGAUGGCACUGUUUUUAUUACCUUACAUGUAAUUUAUAUGAAAUACAGAGCAGUAUUCCUGUGUGUGCACUACAGUUGUCCCGAUACCUAUAUUUUAGUACCAAUACCAGAAUGUAUUUCGAUAAUUUUCUAAAUAAGGGGGACCACAAAAAAUUGCGUUAUUGGCUUUAUUUUACCAAAACAUCUUAGGGUACAUUAAACAUACACUAUAUUGCCAAAAGUUUUUGGCCACCUGCUUUGACUCACUUAUGAACUUGAAGUGCCAUCCCAUUACUAACCCAUAGGGUUCAAUAUGAUGUCGGUCCACCUUUUGCAGCUGUUACAGCUUCAACUCUUCUGAGACCAUUCUUCCAAAGGCGCAUUGGUGAGGUCACAGACUGAUUUUGGUCGAGUAGGCCUGGCUCUGUCUCCAUUCUAAUUUCAGUGCCGAUCAAAAACGCCGAUCCUCUCUGGCUAAUAUCGGAUUUAUUUUUAGUACCCUAUAGGUCUGUGCGAUAAUUGCCAUUUUUCUUUCCAAAAUUGCGAUUUUUACCGCAAAAUAACGUGUGAUGAAGGAAAUGUUACUUUUAGACUGUCUAUCAACAUAUUAUUCUUUCAAGGUGCCACAAAUUAGAACAAUAUUCAAUGAUUUACUUAAAUAUUUUGCGAUAUGCAGACAUUUUUGCUACAUCAGUGGUUCUCAAACUUUUUUCACCAAGUACCACCUCAAAGAACAAUUGGCUCUCCAAGUACCACCAUAAUGACCAGCAUUAAAAUACAGUAGCAUAGUAGGCCGAAGUAUUUAUUAAAACAAAGCAGAUGUUUUAUUUAUUUAUAUUUAGUAUUUUUGGCCAAUGUGACAUUACACGCUAUGUAGAACAAUAAAACAUUGUACUUUAAUCAAGUGAUUAUUUGGCAUAUGGAACAUUCAAUCAGACAUUAUUGUGAGGUUUUGUAUUAGUGUUCCUAAAAAUCAGAUAUACCGGCCCCCAGACACAUUUUUUUCUCUAAAUUUGGCCCCGCGAGUCAAAAUAAUUGCCCAGGCCUGGUCUAAAAGAUGCUGUAUGUGUAGGUAUACC